Molecule: unclassified non-coding RNA, 302 nt
Filed under: uncultured fungus
Lineage: Eukaryota; Fungi
Description: partial contains 5.8S ribosomal RNA and internal transcribed spacer 2
Rfam family: 5.8S ribosomal RNA (bases 1-133)
Source: RNAcentral
UGGUUCCAGCAUCGAUGAAGAACGCAGCGAAAUGCGAUAAAUAAUGUGAAUUGCAGAAUUCAGUGAAUCAUCGAGUCUUUGAACGCACAUUGCGCCCUUUGGUAUUCCGAAGGGCGCGCCUGUUCGAGCGUCAUUACAAACCAUCAAGCUUGCUUGAAGUUGAGCGUGCCUACUCAUGGGCUGCUCGAAAGACUUUGGCUUCGUUUUGCAGAUUGCCAGUGACGCAUCACAAACAUUCUGCAGAAACGUGCCUUUCAACGUUUUCUACGGUUGACCUCGGAUCAGGCGGGAAUACCCGCUGA